CUCUUCUUCGUGCAGUUUCUUGAUUAUGAGAGCGCAAACCUCACCCAGGUUCAAAUCUCAGACAGGACUCUUCCCAGGUAGCUCAUCUCUUUUGUAGUCUUUACAGACACGAUCGGUACAAUUUAAAAAUAAUCACUUUUUCCGGACAUCUGAUUGUCACUUUUUACUGUUUCAUCUUCUCCAGGCAUGCUGAAGCGCACCAAAUACAGUCGCCUGCGCAACGAUUCGCUGACGUCCCUGGAGGAUCGGCCCCAAAGAAUGCGGCCCUCAAAGAGGGACCUUUGCCUCGACUCUGAUUUUGCACAGCUGGAUCCCGGAGCGCCGACGCACCACGGGCCGUCCACCCUGAGGGACUUCAUCCCCCGCGUGGCCAACAUCCGACUGCAAAGUCCAAUUUCCCUGCGGGGCCUGAGGGGAAAGACAAACUCAGACCGGGACAGAACCAUUAAUGGACACACGGACAGACCCUCAUGGGGCUCGGGGCCUGAUCAGAGAUGUUGUAGCCAACCGUCCCUCAAUGUGCCCCCAUCCACCGGCCUGACUCACUCCGCUCUGCGCUGCACAAAAAGACCAAUCACCCUGCAUCGGAUUACCAGCCUCCCCUGGACCCCCGAGUGUCCUCACUGCUCACAGCACAGACACAGUCUGUGCCUUUUGAAGACUUCCCCAGCAGCUGACGACUGUACAGUGGUGGGGACGGCGAGCAGGAAGGUUCACCAUCACAUCAAGUACAUGGGUAGUGUGGAAGUGACCCAGUCCAUGAGAACCCUCCACUUUGAUAUGAGAAUGAAAGUCACACGAGAGGCCAUCAGCAGACUGUGUGAGAGGACAUCAGCAGUGAAAACUAAAAGGGU
RNAcentral lists this long non-coding RNA (854 nucleotides) under Cyclopterus lumpus (lumpfish). RNAcentral describes it as "lncRNA (ENSCLMG00005020322.1)". Lineage: Eukaryota; Metazoa; Chordata; Actinopteri; Perciformes; Cyclopteridae. The record is from RNAcentral.